This is a non-coding RNA of Acanthosepion pharaonis, 109 nucleotides long. The record is from the annotation of a GenBank genome assembly. Lineage: Eukaryota; Metazoa; Mollusca; Cephalopoda; Sepiida; Sepiidae.
UUACGGCCAUAUCACGUUGAAACACCGGUUCCCGCACGAAUCACCGAAGUUAAGCAACGUCGAGGCUGGUCUGUAUCGAGAUAGGUAACCGCUUAGGAAUACCAAGUGC